This 510-nucleotide ribosomal RNA is filed under the name uncultured bacterium. RNAcentral's name for it is "partial 16S ribosomal RNA". It matches the Rfam family "Bacterial small subunit ribosomal RNA", at positions 28 to 507 of the family's 1533-position model. The record is from RNAcentral.
GACGAACGCUGGCGGCGUGCUUAACACAUGCAAGUCGAACGAAGAGCGAUGGAAGCUUGCUUCUAUCAAUCUUAGUGGCGAACGGGUGAGUAACGCGUAAUCAACCUGCCCUUCAGAGGGGGACAACAGUUGGAAACGACUGCUAAUACCGCAUACGAUCUAAUCUCGGCAUCGAGGAUAGAUGAACGGUGGCCUCUACAUGUAAGCUAUCACUGAAGGAGGGGAUUGCGUCUGAUUAGCUAGUUGGAGGGGUAACGGCCCACCAAGGCGAUGAUCAGUAGCCGGUCUGAGAGGAUGAACGGCCACAUUGGGACUGAGACACGGCCCAGACUCCUACGGGAGGCAGCAGUGGGGAAUCUUCCGCAAUGGACGAAAGUCUGACGGAGCAACGCCGCGUGAGUGAUGACGGCCUUCGGGUUGUAAAGCUCUGUUAAUCGGGACGAAAGGCCUUCUUGCGAAUAGUGAGAAGGAUUGACGGUACCGGAAUAGAAAGCCACGGCUAACUACGUG